AUACGUAGGUGACAAGCGUUAUCCGGAUUUACUGGGCGUAAAGGGCGUGUAGGCGGUCUUGCAAGUCAGAAGUGAAAUUCCUGAGCUCAACUCGGGCGCUGCUUCUGAAACUGCAGGACUUGAGUGCUGGAGGGGAUAGCGGAAUUCCUAGUGGAGCGGUAAAAUGCGCAGAUAUUAGGAAGAACACCGGUGGCGAAGGCGGCUAUCUGGACAGUAACUGACGCUGAGGCGCGAAAGCGUGGGGAGAAAACAGGAUUAGAUGCCCUGGUAUUCCACGCCGUAAACGAUGAAUACUAGGUGUAGGGGGUAUCGACUCCCUCUGUGCCGCAGUUAACACAAUAAGGAUUCCGCCUGGGGAGUACGGCCGCAAGGUUGAAACUCAAAGGAAUUGACGGGG
RNAcentral lists this ribosomal RNA (397 nucleotides) under uncultured bacterium. RNAcentral describes it as "partial 16S ribosomal RNA". It matches the Rfam family "Bacterial small subunit ribosomal RNA", at positions 523 to 918 of the family's 1533-position model. The record is from RNAcentral.